Molecule: long non-coding RNA, 1560 nt
Organism: Passer montanus (Eurasian tree sparrow)
Lineage: Eukaryota; Metazoa; Chordata; Aves; Passeriformes; Passeridae
Exons: 3
Source: RefSeq, a predicted model, not a curated record
UUAGCAGAAUAAACAGAAUCGUCAGGAGGCAGAAGCUUUUCCCCUGGCAAUGAGAUCCAGCUGCAGGCUGGAUGGGGAGCAGGCACCGCAUCUGGCAGCGAGCGAAUUCCUCCGAGGGAUUGGACAGAGUGGCACAGCCUCCUCUGCACCUCGGGGCCUGGCAUCUUGUACCUGCAGUGAGCAAUCCCCAGGGAAACGGGAGGAAACUCUUAAUUCUUCUUACUGAUCCAGACUGCUGCUCAGCAAAUCCCCUCGCCACUGGAGCUGCAGAUCUGAAAUGGCAUUAAAGAGGAAAUCAACCUUUUGCACAGUUUCCUCUUGGAAACAGUUCAGUUCUCCAGUCCUUCGGCUUCCUUCUGAUGGUGAGAAGCACAUUGUGAGCGAUCCUGCCCCAGGCCCAGGCCGGGCCCUCCUGCCAGGAGCCACCCGCCAUGGACGAGUUGAGCCUGCCACCUCCUGGUGACACUCUCCAGGACUGACCACAGCUUGCAGCUUUACAGCAGCACAUCCUGGCACUUCUCCGAGGCCCCUCGAGCCCCCUGACCCCAGAGAUCUUUGCUGCUGUGGAGUUGUCCUUGUGGCUCUCCUGUGGGGUGUGGGCCUGUGGUUCCCCCUCUCUUGUCGGGGUGAGGCUCAGAAGCUCAGCUCUGUCCCCUGUGAUGUGCUUGAGUUUGGUGUCUGAUGCUUUGAGGGCCUGGAUUUCCUGUGUGGAGAGCACACAGCACAUGGAAAAGAGGUGGAUUUCUGAGGAGGAGGGUCCAAGUUAUCCUCUGGAGUGCGGCAGUGCAUCCUCAGUGUUUGGCUCUGAGCCUUGCCUGGAGCACAUCCCAGUUUUGGCCACCUGUUGCCCCUGGGUGGCUGGUGCUGGGUGCUGAGGGAGCCUGGCUUGCCCUGGGAGCUCACAGAGCCGUGUCCCUGCUCUGUGCAGUGUCUCUGGGUAAUGUCAUUGCAGCCACACUCAAAUACCAUCUCUAUGGUGAUGACUCAGGCAUGCAGCCCCUCUCCGGGCUCUCCUCUCCCUGUCCAAAUUCAUAUCUCAGAGGAGCUCUCUGACAUCUCGUGAAUGUCUCACCACCCUUUCAAGCACAGCACGGCCAAAUCAGAGCUUUUAACCUCUCCUUCUCAGCUCAGGGACUCCCUGAGCUCAGCAGCACCAGGAUGUUGCUUUGCUGCCAGAACCUGAGUCCUGGUUUCAUCUCCUGCCUCCUCACAUGUCUUCACAUCCUGGGCACAUCAACAGCUUGCAUAACCUUGCUAAGCCUUUCCUAAAGCUACAGCUCUCACCUUCUCUUUCAUCACAUCCCCCUCCACUUGUUGCAAUAUCCUUUUUUGGCCUCAACAAACUCGCUAUGGGCCAGCUUGCAUCCACAGGGAUGCUGUUUCAGACAUUGCUUCCCACCUUUCCUGCCUCUCCUCCCUCAUCCUCUGGGCUGCCCUGCUGCCCACAGCCACCCUCUGCCUUCCCUUGAUCCCACCCAUGUCCCUGCCAGCUGCCAGGCCUGUAUCCUCCUUUUAAUUCCUCAUUUUAUUUCUAAAUUGUCAGCUUUGGGCUCACAGGCA